UUGCAACCUCCUAGCAGACACUCAGACAGUCACCCUGCAGACUCGAGGAGCGGUGUUUGGCACUAGUGAUUUGGUUGAUUUUUCUAAGAUUGAUAUGGACUUUAGAGUGGCAUUUGGAAAUGGAAAUGGACUUAUUGAUGGAUGGGACAGCAAUAAUUUCGAAAGAAUUAUCUCCUUUCUUCGGUGUGAAAGUCAUAUCAAGAAUAAAACAAAUAAAUUUUUAUUUGAAAAGAUACUCAAAGAUACUAAAAGAUACCCAUGAAGACAUUACGGAAUAUGGCUAACAUGCAGUUAUUCUUUGGGUUCUACAUCGUAAUUUUAUACGAACUAAUAAAAUAUACCAUCAGAGAUUUCCAGUAAUUAUUCUUACAUCGGGAAGACCCAGCAAGAAGUCGAAGAUCAUAUUAGAUUUUUGAAAACAAAGAAAAAUGCCAUUCAACCAUUUGUUUUUUGUAUGGGUGGUGAUAAUUAAUCCCAGAGAGAUGUAUUUAUGGAGAUGUUAUUGUAGAUGUAUUUAUUUUCACGA
Long non-coding RNA from Diabrotica virgifera virgifera (western corn rootworm), 526 nucleotides. RefSeq lists it as uncharacterized. The transcript is spliced from 3 exons. NCBI's taxonomy places the organism in Eukaryota, Metazoa, Arthropoda, Insecta, Coleoptera, Chrysomelidae. The record is from RefSeq and is a predicted model, not a curated record.